UAAUGCAGUCGAGCGAAUGGAUUAAGAGCUUGCUCUUAUGAAGUUAGCGGCGGACGGGUGAGUAACACGUGGGUAACCUGCCCAUAAGACUGGGAUAACUCCGGGAAACCGGGGCUAAUACCGGAUAAUAUUUUGAACUGCAUGGUUCGAAAUUGAAAGGCGGCUUCGGCUGUCACUUAUGGAUGGACCCGCGUCGCAUUAGCUAGUUGGUGAGGUAACGGCUCACCAAGGCAACGAUGCGUAGCCGACCUGAGAGGGUGAUCGGCCACACUGGGACUGAGACACGGCCCAGACUCCUACGGGAGGCAGCAGUAGGGAAUCUUCCGCAAUGGACGAAAGUCUGACGGAGCAACGCCGCGUGAGUGAUGAAGGCUUUCGGGUCGUAAAACUCUGUUGUUAGGGAAGAACAAGUGCUAGUUGAAUAAGCUGGCACCUUGACGGUACCUAACCAGAAAGCCACGGCUAACUACGUGCCAGCAGCCGCGGUAAUACGUAGGUGGCAAGCGUUAUCCGGAAUUAUUGGGCGUAAAGCGCGCGCAGGUGGUUUCUUAAGUCUGAUGUGAAAGCCCACGGCUCAACCGUGGAGGGUCAUUGGAAACUGGGAGACUUG
RNAcentral lists this ribosomal RNA (610 nucleotides) under Bacillus anthracis (anthrax bacterium). Its description in RNAcentral is "bacterial SSU rRNA". It matches the Rfam family "Bacterial small subunit ribosomal RNA", at positions 52 to 644 of the family's 1533-position model. Lineage: Bacteria; Bacillati; Bacillota; Bacilli; Caryophanales; Bacillaceae. The record is from RNAcentral.